ACCACCCCCUUCACCAUUGGCUUUUCCCAACCCGACCACGUUCCAUAUUAUUCCUCGAACUCCAGUCACCUCCUAUGCUCCCCCAUCUUUCAGCCCUCCUCCUACCCCGCAAUCAGUCUACGGGGUACCAACUUUUUAAACACGAUGUGACGCAUGAAGCCGGCGAGUAACUCAAGAAUUCGACACCACAAAUGAGAGCAUUGUUCUUGCUUCUUGUGAGAAGUGCAUAACCUCAAUUAUCUAUUAUGUACCAUAAUUUUAAACACUAAUGAAAUAAAAGUCAUGGCUAGCCAAAAGAAA
Non-coding RNA from Zootermopsis nevadensis, 300 nucleotides. NCBI's taxonomy places the organism in Eukaryota, Metazoa, Arthropoda, Insecta, Blattodea, Termopsidae. The record is from RefSeq and is a predicted model, not a curated record.